Molecule: long non-coding RNA, 379 nt
Filed under: Mus caroli (Ryukyu mouse)
Lineage: Eukaryota; Metazoa; Chordata; Mammalia; Rodentia; Muridae
Description: RIKEN cDNA 1700044K03 gene (MGP_CAROLIEiJ_G0005259.1)
Source: RNAcentral
AGACCUCAGCUCAACUGGAGACGAGACUGUCUGCACCGUAGCCCAUUACCUACCCCACACUUCCUGUAAUCCCGGAAAGAGGAACAGAGAAAAUGAGAUCAUUAAAGCAAAUAGAAUGUAGACUGCCACAUCAAAUAAGAAGUGAAAAGCCUGUGUUUUCAUCCCAGUGGACCAAGAGGAAAGGAGGAAAGAAGGAAGGAAAGAAAGCAGAUCUACCUUUUUCAUUAAUCCCAUAUUUUUCAGUGAACACAACUCUUCUAACUUCUCUGGUAAAUUCCAAAACCUGCUUUCUGGAUAGUUCCAUGUGAACUUAUCACCACUGCACCAUAUCUAGCAUGCUAUGUGCUACAUGCUAAAUUAAGUCUCUCUUAUCCCAGAA